AGAACGAACGCUGGCGGCAGGCUUAACACAUGCAAGUCGAACGGUUGUAGCAAUACAGCAGUGGCAGACGGGUGAGUAACACGUGGGAACCUUCCUAGGGGUACGGAACAACUCAGGGAAACUUGAGCUAAUACCGUAUACGUCCGUGAGGAGAAAGAUUUAUCGCCCCUAGACGGGCCCGCGUAGGAUUAGGUAGUUGGUGAGGUAACGGCUCACCAAGCCUACGAUCCUUAGCUGAUCUGAGAGGAUGAUCAGCCACACUGGGACUGAGACACGGCCCAGACUCCUACGGGAGGCAGCAGUGGGGAAUCUUGGACAAGUGGGCGCAAGCCUGAUCCAGCCAUGCCGCGUGAGUGAAGAAGGCCUUCGGGUUGUAAGCUCUUUUACCAGGGACGAUAAGUGACGGUACCUGGAGAAGUAAGACCCGGCAAACGUCGUGCCAGACAGCCGC
RNAcentral lists this ribosomal RNA (451 nucleotides) under uncultured soil bacterium. RNAcentral describes it as "bacterial SSU rRNA". It matches the Rfam family "Bacterial small subunit ribosomal RNA", at positions 26 to 518 of the family's 1533-position model. The record is from RNAcentral.